This 446-nucleotide ribosomal RNA is filed under the name uncultured bacterium. Its description in RNAcentral is "bacterial SSU rRNA". It matches the Rfam family "Bacterial small subunit ribosomal RNA", at positions 330 to 793 of the family's 1533-position model. The record is from RNAcentral.
UCCAGACUCCUACGGGAGGCAGCAGUGGGGGAUAUUGCACAAUGGGGGAAACCCUGAUGCAGCGACGCCGCGUGGGUGAAGAAGCGCCUCGGCGCGUAAAGCCCUGUCAGCAGGGAAGAAAAUGACGGUACCUGGCUAAGAAGCCCCGGCUAACUACGUGCCAGCAGCCGCGGUAAUACGUAGGGGGCAAGCGUUAUCCGGAUUUACUGGGUGUAAAGGGAGCGUAGGCGGUUUAGCAAGUCAGAAGUGAAAGCCCGGGGCUCAACUCCGGGACUGCUUUUGAAACUGUUGAACUAGAUUGCAGGAGAGGUAAGUGGAAUUCCUAGUGUAGCGGUGAAAUGCGUAGAUAUUAGGAGGAACACCAGUGGCGAAGGCGGCUUACUGGACUGUAAAUGACGCUGAGGCUCGAAAGUGUGGGGAGCAAACAGGAUUAGAUACCCUUGUAA